GAUGAACGCUGGCGGCGCGCUUAAGACAUGCAAGUCGAACGGUUCAAUGGCAUCGCAGAUGAUGAAGAUUUAUCGGAAUUUGAAGCACCGUUAUUGAAUAGUGGCGGACGGGUGAGUAACACGUGAGCAACCUGCCUUCAAGUGGGGGACAACAGAGAGAAAUUUCUGCUAAUACCGCAUAAGACCACAGUACCGCAUGGUACAGGGGUCAAAGAUUUAUCGCUUGAAGAUGGGCUCGCGGCUGAUUAGCUAGUUGGUGAGGUAAUGGCUCACCAAGGCAACGAUCAGUAGCCGAACUGAGAGGUUGAUCGGCC
This 314-nucleotide ribosomal RNA is filed under the name uncultured bacterium. RNAcentral describes it as "bacterial SSU rRNA". It matches the Rfam family "Bacterial small subunit ribosomal RNA", at positions 28 to 309 of the family's 1533-position model. The record is from RNAcentral.